GGGGAUGUAGCUUAGUGGUAGAGUACUUACCUAGCAUGCAUGAGGUCCUGGGUUCGAUCCCCCAGCACCCCA
RNAcentral lists this transfer RNA (72 nucleotides) under Dipodomys ordii (Ord's kangaroo rat). It matches the Rfam family "tRNA". From Rfam's summary of the family: Transfer RNA (tRNA) molecules are approximately 80 nucleotides in length. The record is from Rfam by way of RNAcentral. Lineage: Eukaryota; Metazoa; Chordata; Mammalia; Rodentia; Heteromyidae.